Molecule: unclassified non-coding RNA, 269 nt
Filed under: uncultured Lactarius
Lineage: Eukaryota; Fungi; Basidiomycota; Agaricomycetes; Russulales; Russulaceae
Description: sequence contains ITS2
Source: RNAcentral
AAAUCUCAACCUUCUCGGUUUCUUCUGGACACCGAAGGAGGCUUGGACUUUGGAGGCCUUUGCUGGCGUCUCUCUCUUUUGAAGGCCAGCUCCUCUUAAAUGAAUUAGCAGGGUCCUCUUUGCCGAUCCUUGACGUGUGAUAAGAUGUUUCCAUGUCUUGGCUUCUGGCUCUGUGGCUUUUGGGACCCGCUUCUAACCGUCUCUGCCUUGCAUCGAGACAACGUUUGAGCACGUCUCCCUUCUUGGGAAACGCUCUCAACCCCACGAAC